Molecule: ribosomal RNA, 633 nt
Filed under: uncultured Russulaceae
Lineage: Eukaryota; Fungi; Basidiomycota; Agaricomycetes; Russulales; Russulaceae
Description: LSU rRNA
Rfam family: Eukaryotic large subunit ribosomal RNA
Source: RNAcentral
UAAGCGGAGGAAAAGAAACUAACAAGGAUUCCCCUAGUAACUGCGAGUGAAGCGGGAAAAGCUCAAAUUUGGAAUCUGGUGGUCUUUGGCCAUCCGAGUUGUAAUUUAGAGAAGCGUCUUCCGCGCUGGACCGUGCACAAGUCUCCUGGAAUGGAGCGUCAUAGAGGGUGAGAAUCCCGUCUUUGGCACGGAAUCCCAGGGCUUCUGUGAUGCGCUCUCGACGAGUCGAGUUGUUUGGGAAUGCAGCUCAAAAUGGGUGGUGAACUCCAUCUAAAGCUAAAUAUUGGCGAGAGACCGAUAGCGAACAAGUACCGUGAGGGAAAGAUGAAAAGCACUUUGGAAAGAGAGUGAAACAGUACGUGAAAUUGUUGAAAGGGAAACGCUUGAAGUCAGUCGCGUCGACCGAGACUCAGCCUUGCCUCGGCUUGGUGUACUUCUCGGCUUGACGGGUCAGCAUCGAUUUCGAUCCUCGGAUAAUGGCAAGGGAAAGGUAGCACCUUUUUAGGUGUGUUAUAGUCCUCUGUCGCAUGCGAGGGUCGGGAUCGAGGAACUCAGCACGCACCUCAGGGUGUCGGGGCCUUCUUGGCCCACGUUUACGUGCUUAGGAUGCUGGCGUAAUGGCUUUAAACGACC